UGUAAGCGUUGUGAGGCGUUGAGCUAACCAGUACUAAUUGCCCGUGAGGCUUGACCAUAUAACACCCAAACA
Molecule: ribosomal RNA, 72 nt
Filed under: Pseudomonas aeruginosa
Lineage: Bacteria; Pseudomonadati; Pseudomonadota; Gammaproteobacteria; Pseudomonadales; Pseudomonadaceae
Description: partial 23S ribosomal RNA
Source: RNAcentral